UACCUGGAAAUCAGUUUACAAUGGAAGAAGAAGAAAGACCAGCAGUAGCAGUAACAAAUGUAACAGUAGAUCAACUGUCACCAGGAACAAAUAGAGCCAAAUUCAAGGCUAAACCACACUCCAAAUGCCCAUGAAGAAGUAAAUACAACAAGAACACCUUAAGUUUACUUUGAAAUUAAACUAGGAAGUCAUAGAGCAUAUUCAACAGUCAGAAUCACCCAGCAUCAGCUCAAUUGAACCUCAAAUGACUCGAUUCAAACCCAAAACUCACACGAAAUAGAACCAGUAUACUUUCAUAAAUGCUCCAGCAACUUAGAAAAGAGAAGAACUCAAAGUUAAUAUAUAAGAGCAAUGAAACGGUAGUCUUCUCUAAAAAAAGUGACCAAAAACUCUCUGUGCUUUUUCAAGUUCCCAAAACUCCAUUUUCAAACUCAAUCAAAACUGAAUGUCUUCAAUGCUUUAUAUCUCUCUGUGUUCUUCUAAACUCUCUUAACUCUCAAUGUGUAUGUCGUUUUCUGUCUUCUCUCAAAAGAAAAUGUCCCCCUUUUAUUCCACUCUCUAAGUUUUCAAUCAUCUUUUC
This 580-nucleotide long non-coding RNA is filed under the name Nicotiana benthamiana. RNAcentral's name for it is "long non-coding RNA (NBEN_LNC004356)". The record is from RNAcentral. Lineage: Eukaryota; Viridiplantae; Streptophyta; Magnoliopsida; Solanales; Solanaceae.